This 325-nucleotide ribosomal RNA is filed under the name uncultured eukaryote. RNAcentral describes it as "partial 18S ribosomal RNA". It matches the Rfam family "Eukaryotic small subunit ribosomal RNA", at positions 1470 to 1796 of the family's 1831-position model. The record is from RNAcentral.
CCCUUAGAUGUCCUGGGCCGCACGCGCGCUACACUGAUGCAUUCAACGAGUUUUACCUUGGCCGAGAGGCCUGGGCAAUCUUUUAAACCUGCAUCGUGAUAGGGAUAGAUUAUUGCAAUUAUUAAUCUUGAACGAGGAAUUCCUAGUAAACGCAAAUCAUCAAUUUGCAUUGAUUACGUCCCUGCCCUUUGUGCACACCGCCCGUCGCACCUACCGAUUGAAUGGUCCGGUGAAGCCUCGGGAUUGUGGCCAGUUCACUUUAUUGGGAGUUGGCUGUGAGAACUUGUCUAAACCCUAUCAUUUAGAGGAAGGUGAAGUCGUAACA